This is a long non-coding RNA of Mesocricetus auratus (golden hamster), 1039 nucleotides long. RefSeq lists it as uncharacterized. NCBI's taxonomy places the organism in Eukaryota, Metazoa, Chordata, Mammalia, Rodentia, Cricetidae. The record is from RefSeq and is a predicted model, not a curated record. The transcript is spliced from 2 exons.
GGUUUUUCCAAUGCCUGCUGGGCAUCAGCACAUGCUGGGGAAAAAGGAACGAAUGAAGAUGUGGGUAAUGCUGCUCUUCCUGGUACCGAUGAUGCUCAUCCUGCCCAGUGAUGGAAGAUUUGGAAACCCAUACAACACCAAAGUUAUCCUGACUCAUUUGAUGGGGAAACCCUGUGACUGCCAGGGUGGAACAUAGUCAGUAUCUCCCUUUAGUGGACAGUCAUACAACAGGUAGAUUGUGAUACGAAGAUAGCAGUCAAUAUGACUGACACAUCAGGAUCCAUUUUUUCAAAUUCCAAUAAGUGGAUAAGCAUAAAGAAGCCCAAGGUUAUCCCCCAGGUUGAUGCGAAGCCAGGACCCUGUCCUUGCACUGCUUUCUGUCUGACAAUGCAUUUGGCCUGCUAUGGCAUUGCCCAAAUGUGCACCAGUAGUUCCACUAAAAAGACUCACUGGACCUGGGUAUGAAAUUUAGUGCUCUCUGGAGGUGAGAGGGGUUGGAUUGCGAGAGAUGGAGGGUGUGCCUCUGCACCUUGCUUUGGAGCCCCAGGUAAAACUGUUUGCUGGGAACUUGCCCCCCUAUUGGUUAUUCAGAUGGGGGAGUUUAACAUCAUGUUAGGGAACAAAACGUUCAUAAAAAGAACAACUUGUUUUGGACUAGUACCCAGAGGUCAACUAUCACCCUGUUGUUCUCCCUGAAAAUCAGGGUGAGCUAGUGCUCGACCCCCAUAUUGAGUCUCUGCUACAAAUGGUCUUUGCCUUACUAAAUCAAAUGACUCCUUCCUUUGCACAGGAUUGCUGGCUUUGCCUCCAAUCUGGACAUCCUUGGCUGCUUGCAGUGGUCUCUAAUGAUACAGUCACAGAUGCCCCUAGUACUAUAAAAGAUUGCUCAGCCACAUUUCCCAUCCAUGUAAAGCUCCUCCCAAUGAAACUUUCUGGGACUUGUAUUUGGACCCCGACUACUACUGAUAAAUCCACUGUAGAUGUAGGCCACAUUGAUCCAUCUUUCUGUAAUUCAAAUACAACCAAAUCUAAUGCUCAA